Zea mays is the source of this 501-nucleotide long non-coding RNA. RefSeq lists it as uncharacterized. NCBI's taxonomy places the organism in Eukaryota, Viridiplantae, Streptophyta, Magnoliopsida, Poales, Poaceae. The transcript has 2 exons. The record is from RefSeq and is a predicted model, not a curated record.
CCCAGCCUUGUUUGUCUUCCACGUCGCGGAGCUUUCGGCGAGGAACAUUACAACAACCGCCCCGAUGGGGUGAGCCAACUGGGGGGGGAUCCUCUCUGCUAUAAACCAAUGCGGUAGGGUCGCCUAGGCCAUAUCGACCCACCCCAAUCGCACCAGGAGCAAUAGCCGAGAGCCACUUCGACGCAGAGUGUGAAACGAGAGUGAGAGCAGGCCGCCGGCAUGGGAAAUCGGAACCGCGACAAGUCUGGGCUUGGGACUCGGCUUUGGGGGAUCAUCGCACCUCGUAGAAGGCGUGCUCCUCAUUGAUUCGGGCGAAGUUCACUGGAGCCCUGUGUAAUUUCUCGUCGUCGAGCCUAAUCCACCACAGAUCCGCUCUUCCAAGUGGAUUGCCCGCCUGCGCGCAUCAUCCUCGGUAGCCUAGGAGGAGGACUACUACGAGGAGUACGAGGAAGUCUAGGUGGUGUCUCCCAGUCUUAAUGGCGCCAAGGAAUAAUAUUAGUU